This is a non-coding RNA of Phthorimaea operculella (potato tuberworm), 76 nucleotides long. Lineage: Eukaryota; Metazoa; Arthropoda; Insecta; Lepidoptera; Gelechiidae. The record is from the annotation of a GenBank genome assembly.
CCUACCGUGGUGUAGCGGUCAACACGUCUGACCCGGAUUGUCAGAAGACGUGUGGGUUCGAAUCCCAUCGGUGGCG